AGAGUUUGAUCCUGGCUCAGGAUGAACGCUGGCGGCGUGCCUAACACAUGCAAGUCGAGCGAGGUGCUUGUAUCCUAGCGGCGGACGGGUGAGUAACGCGUGGGUAACCUGCCCUAUACACAUGGAUAACAUACCGAAAGGUAUGCUAAUACAAGAUGAAACAUUGAUAAGGCAUCUUAUUAAUGUCAAAGCCUUGGCGGUAUAGGAUGGGCCCGCGUCCCAUUAGUUAGUUGGUGAGGUAACGGCUCACCAAGGCCACGAUGGGUAGCCGACCUGAGAGGGUGAUCGGCCACACUGGAACUGAGACACGGUCCAGACUCCUACGGGAGGCAGCAGUGGGGAAUAUUGCACAAUGGGCGAAAGCCUGAUGCAGCAACGCCGCGUGAGCGAUGAAGGCCUUCGGGUCGUAAAGCUCUGUCCUCAAGGAAGAUUUUGACGGUACUUGAGGAGGAAGCCCCGGCUAACUACGUGCCAGCAGCCGCGGUAAUACGUAGGGGGCUAGCGUUAUCCGGAAUUACUGGGCGUAAAGGGUGCGUAGGUGGUUUUAUAAGUCAGAGGUGAAAGGCUACGGCUCAACCGUAGUAAGCCUUUGAAACUAUAAAACUUGAGUGCAGGAGAGGAAAGUAGAAUUCCCAGUGUAGCGGUGAAAUGCGUAGAUAUUGGGAGGAAUACCAGUUGCGAAGGCGGCUUUCUGGACUGUAACUGACACUGAGGCACGAAAGCGUGGGGAGCAAACAGGAUUAGAUACCCUGGUAGUCCACGCUGUAAACGAUGAGUACUAGGUGUCGGGGGUUACCCCCUCGGUGCCGCAGCUAACGCAUUAAGUACUCCGCCUGGGAAGUACGCUCGCAAGAGUGAA
RNAcentral lists this ribosomal RNA (859 nucleotides) under uncultured bacterium. RNAcentral's name for it is "bacterial SSU rRNA". It matches the Rfam family "Bacterial small subunit ribosomal RNA", at positions 8 to 898 of the family's 1533-position model. The record is from RNAcentral.